This is a long non-coding RNA of Mesocricetus auratus (golden hamster), 444 nucleotides long. RefSeq lists it as uncharacterized. Lineage: Eukaryota; Metazoa; Chordata; Mammalia; Rodentia; Cricetidae. The transcript has 3 exons. The record is from RefSeq and is a predicted model, not a curated record.
CAAGGAAGAUGAUGCUCUGGCCCAGGUCACCGAAGGGGAGCCGCCAGCCCCGCCGUGCCGGAUCACUAGCUUGGUGGGAAGGUUGCAGCACGGGCUGUUUCUUCAGGCUACACAAUUUGCCGUCAUACUGUGGAAGGAGGAAAGGUUGAGUGACCAGGUGCUGCUGGGAGGAAGACUUCUCGGUCUCCUCAGUCUAGGUCCCCUCUCUAGCCAGGGACAUGGAUGGUGAAGGGGGCUGGCCCCGGCUACCGCAUCCCUGCCCAUCAAGAGAUACCCGGUGGGGCAAGCCAGGUCUCUGCCCCGGCUGCCCUUAACGAUGGACUGUGACCCCGAAGACAGCUCACACUUGGAUCCCUAGCUGCCACGAGGUUCCUUACCUGCAGUGCCGGGGGCUUCCCUGACCCAGACACAGCAGCUUUGGCCACACUCAGGGUUGGAAGGUUG